Manis pentadactyla (Chinese pangolin) is the source of this 528-nucleotide long non-coding RNA. RefSeq lists it as uncharacterized. Lineage: Eukaryota; Metazoa; Chordata; Mammalia; Pholidota; Manidae. The transcript has 3 exons. The record is from RefSeq and is a predicted model, not a curated record.
UUGCUUAGGCCAAGGGAACAUCGGUGGUGAAAACAAUGGGCCACAGGUUCCAAGUCUGGGCCUCAAGAGCCCUUGCAACCUUCACUUUCCCUUGGGAAACCUGGGACUGCGAUGGGAACAAGCCCGGGCCAGCCUGCUGGAGAACGGGAGGCUGUGCAGGGGAGAACCGAAACCACCAGCCGAGCUCCGGAAGCCGAGCUGCCCAGUGGCCUUCAGCUGAUGGCAGGCAGGGGAGGAAGCCUGCAGAAACCGGGACGCUCCAACUGAGGACAAAGCCCACAGGUUCUGUGCUCCCAAGAACAUCAAAGAGGAUCUUUUCCAAAUCAUUGUCUCCACUGCCCUCGAUGUCAACAUGGAGUCAGUCAAAACAAGCCCAGCUUCUCUUUUCGACUCCCAAGAGAGUGGCAAAGCAGAGACCCAGAUACUCGGAGGGAGCUGCCUAGUCUGCUAUACAACAUGCUGGUGUGGCCUUUUAAAUUUUGCCCUGGCUUGUUUCUGAAGUUAAGUUCUGGAUGUUAGAAAGAGGUC